UACGUAGGGGGCAAGCGUUUGUUCGGAAUUACUGGGCGUAAAGGGCGCGUAGGCGGCACGGCAAGUCGGGAGUGAAAGCCCGGGGCUCAACCCCGGAGGGUCUUCCGAAACUGCCGGGCUAGAGUGCGGAAGAGGCAACCGGAAUUCCCAGUGUAGCGGUGAAAUGCGUAGAUAUUGGGAAGAACACCGGAGGCGAAGGCGGGUUGCUGGGCCGACACUGACGCUGAGGCGCGAAAGCGUGGGGAGCAAACAGG
RNAcentral lists this ribosomal RNA (254 nucleotides) under uncultured bacterium. Its description in RNAcentral is "partial 16S ribosomal RNA". It matches the Rfam family "Bacterial small subunit ribosomal RNA", at positions 524 to 776 of the family's 1533-position model. The record is from RNAcentral.